This 429-nucleotide ribosomal RNA is filed under the name Actinomycetes bacterium. RNAcentral's name for it is "Actinobacteria bacterium partial 16S ribosomal RNA". It matches the Rfam family "Bacterial small subunit ribosomal RNA", at positions 355 to 776 of the family's 1533-position model. The record is from RNAcentral. Lineage: Bacteria; Bacillati; Actinomycetota; Actinomycetes.
UAGGGAAUCUUCCGCAAUGUGCGAAAGCCUGACGGAGCAACGCCGCGUGAGUGAUGAAGGUCUUCGGAUCGUAAAACUCUGUUAUUAGGGAAGAACAAAUGUGUAAGUAACUAUGCACGUCUUGACGGUACCUAAUCAGAAAGCCACGGCUAACUACGUGCCAGCAGCCGCGGUAAUACGUAGGUGGCAAGCGUUAUCCGGAAUUAUUGGGCGUAAAGCGCGCGUAGGCGGUUUUUUAAGUCUGAUGUGAAAGCCCACGGCUCAACCGUGGAGGGUCAUUGGAAACUGGAAAACGUGAGUGCAGAAGAGGAAAGUGGAAUUCCAUGUGUAGCGGUGAAAUGCGCAGAGAUAUGGAGGAACACCAGUGGCGAAGGCGACUUUCUGGUCUGUAACUGACGCUGAUGUGCGAAAGCGUGGGGAUCAAACAGG